CGGGAGGAGUACAAGGAGUGUGACCUACGCGUUUGGAGUGGAAGAAGUGGGUAGUGGGGGGGGGGGAAGGGUCCUACGCGGUGUGUGCCUUUGAGCUGAGUGAAAGAGCAUCAUCUGUGUAAUGGAUAGCUUGUGGAGAGCCGGGGAUGUGUGAGUGUGCUCGCGCGCGCAAUAGGGGAGCGAUGCGGUGUGUGCACCAUGUGGGGGACACGCGUGCGUGCGCUGUAGAGGCGAGCCCUGCUUUACGGAUGUGUGCUUUAGGAAGGAGGUGAGAAUGCCACGUGUGUGCGCCCACUGUAGCAGGGACGGGUGCCGUGUGUGUGCACGCGCACUGGAGGGAGAGUGCUUUGGCUUCGUGUGUGCACACUGAAAUGGGGGGCUGGGGGAUUUGUCACUCACAGUGGCGGGGUGGGAGUGGGCUGCAGAAUCUGUUUGCUCUGGGACAGCAUAGUAACCAUGACCUCUUCCCCUGCCCCUCUCCGACUAGAAAAGCCCAGAGGAGGCAGAGGAGGCGCGUAUUAAGGAGGACCAAACCCCAAAAUAAAGCAGAAAUCCACUUACAUGCUGGACACAGUCUGGAUGCCCAAGAGUCACACAGUGCGCUUUAUGCCCUGCGUAUCAGUCACUCAGCCAGACUAGGCUCCACUGCCCAGUCUUCCUCACCCCUUGCUCCCCCCCGCCACUGCCCGUUGUUUGCCUGUCUGGACUCAGGAGCCCACAGGGCUUUGGGGGUGGGGUGGGGUGAAGAAGCAGGAACACGUGGGGGCUGCCUGCCUUGCUGUCAUCACAGCGGAGCCAUCAGCGCUCCCAGGUCCUCUACUGCCGCUUCCCCCAGCCCCAUCUGCACGCGCCGUGUGCGCCUCGGCUAAGGCAGGCUCAGCAGGGGCUGCUGGCAAGGGAGUGCAGCUAAGUCCCCUGCUAUUUCUGCAAGGGGAUGAUAUGGAAAGUUGGAUGGGGCGGGGGAAUAAGCAGUGCAUUUUUAAAACGCGCUAUUAAAACAUACCAGCAUGGAUCCCACAUAUCCACUUACAUCUCACCGUGCAAAGAGGUUUGCUGCAGCCGGAAGUUGUACCCGUCAGCACCUGCUGAGGGCUUCGUUGACCAAACUGACAGAUGGCUUUUGGAGAAUUUGGCAGUCUUGUUCUUAUUGGAUUAUGGGGCACCACUUUCAGAUAAAAACAUGGACCUGAUUGGCAUCAUCCAGUAUCCAUGGAAACCCUGCUCCAUAAGAUUGGCAUUAUCCUGUAGUAGUGUCACAGCCUGCAGUCGUUUAAUGCCACUUCUUCUGAGGCCAGGAUUCCACGCCCAAGUGCAUUUAGUAGAAACCUUCUCUCUGUCUGCGCCCUGCUGCAUCUGUUGGGCUAGGAAGGAAUGUUUCACCAGUCUGCCACAAGGACAGUAUUCAUGGUUGUCUGGGGUAGGACAUUCUUAGUGGCAGUCUUUCACCUCUGGAGAUCAGUCUUGCUGGAAAUACAUCCAUGCCUGAACCUAGCCAUAUUUAGGACAGGAGGCAAGAACAUCACUUCAUUCAGGCUACUAGCUAAUAGCAGGUUCUGGAAUGCUCUGAUACUGAAUCCCUUGACAUUAAGUCUAUUGGAUGCUAUCAACUCUCUCUGGUCCUCUAAAGGAAGUUGAGCCAGCGGCUGCACAUAGUCAUGGAGCAUAUGUUCUCCCCACUCAUGCAAAGUUGUUUGGUACUUUCUUAAUCUAUGUAAAGUGAGCUUCAACACAAAAGGGUUAGCUGCAUUAUAAAUGCCUGAAAUAUUAAUAAUAAUGUGUGUGCUUUUUUAUGAGUUAAUAGAUGUGUGGGUAAUAGGUAUUAUAAGGAUUAUUGUAGAACACUACGCUAUACUUAACCAUCUGACUGUGAUCUCUGAAAGAGAGAUUGCAUACAUACGGUAUUUAACUCAUUUUUUGUUCUAGAACUAGCAGAUAGUAGCAAACACUUAUUUAUGGUUUUGGAUGUGUUUUGCUGUUUAGGAUAAGCAUUCUGUAAAAUGUGAUUGUUUUGCUUUGCUGUGAUUAUUGUUUUUGUUUUGAUCCUGAUGAGCUGGACCAAAGCUUCACUUUGAGGUUAGUUAAAACCUGCCCCAAAACUUGGUGGAACUCAGUAAAAUUUCUUGUGUGCCCUGGAAGACUCUAUGAACUGCUAGGGAACUGGUAGGAUUACUAUAUCACAUAUACCAAAGAAAUAAAAUCUGAUUCAGAUGGGACGGGAUUUGUGUU
This 2226-nucleotide long non-coding RNA is filed under the name Chrysemys picta bellii (western painted turtle). RNAcentral's name for it is "lncRNA (ENSCPBG00000010613.1)". The record is from RNAcentral. Lineage: Eukaryota; Metazoa; Chordata; Testudines; Emydidae.